This 210-nucleotide long non-coding RNA is filed under the name Pan troglodytes (chimpanzee). Its description in RNAcentral is "long non-coding RNA NONPTRT015496". Lineage: Eukaryota; Metazoa; Chordata; Mammalia; Primates; Hominidae. The record is from RNAcentral.
ACAGGCUGUAUGGGAAGCAUGGCUGGGGAGGCCUCAUGAAACUUAUAAUCAUGGUGCAAGGUGAAGAGGAAGGAGACAUGCUUUACAAGGCCACAGCAGGAGGAAGACAGUGAAGGGGGCGGUGCUACAUACUACAAACAACCAGAUCUUGCCUUGGGGAUUGAAUGGAACUUCACCACUGACUUUCCUGGGCCUCCAGCUUGUAGAUAC